GCCCCCGUAGCUCAGGUGGAUAGAGCAGCGGCCUUCUAAGCCGACGGUCGGGGGUUCGAAUCCUCCCGGGGGCGCCA
This 77-nucleotide transfer RNA is filed under the name Sandaracinus sp. RNAcentral describes it as "tRNA-Arg". It matches the Rfam family "tRNA". From Rfam's summary of the family: Transfer RNA (tRNA) molecules are approximately 80 nucleotides in length. Lineage: Bacteria; Pseudomonadati; Myxococcota; Polyangiales; Sandaracinaceae. The record is from RNAcentral.